AUUGAACGCUGGCGGCAGGCCUAACACAUGCAAGUCGAGCGGAUGAAGGGAGCUUGCUCCUGGAUUCAGCGGCGGACGGGUGAGUAAUGCCUAGGAAUCUGCCUGGUAGUGGGGGAUAACGUCCGGAAACGGGCGCUAAUACCGCAUACGUCCUGAGGGAGAAAGUGGGGGAUCUUCGGACCUCACGCUAUCAGAUGAGCCUAGGUCGGAUUAGCUAGUUGGUGGGGUAAAGGCCUACCAAGGCGACGAUCCGUAACUGGUCUGGGAGGAUGAUCAGUCACACUGGAACUGAGACACGGUCCAGACUCCUACGGGAGGCAGCAGUGGGGAAUAUUGGACAAUGGGCGGAAGCCUGAUCCAGCCAUGCCGCGUGUGUGAAGAAGGUCUUCGGAUUGUAAAGCACUUUAAGUUGGGAGGAAGGGCAGUAAGUUAAUACCUUGCUGUUUUGACGUUACCAACAGAAUAAGCACCGGCUAACUUCGUG
This 484-nucleotide ribosomal RNA is filed under the name uncultured bacterium. RNAcentral's name for it is "partial 16S ribosomal RNA". It matches the Rfam family "Bacterial small subunit ribosomal RNA", at positions 30 to 507 of the family's 1533-position model. The record is from RNAcentral.